CAGAAAGGAAAAAGAUAAUAGGAAUUUAGCAUAUUUUGGACAUUUAAAAAAAAACUAUUCACUAGCAAGUCCAAGUGCUAAAAAAGUUAAGUUUAGAUGCAAAGAAUGGGGAUCUGGAUGGAGUAUCUUCUAGUAUAAAUCAUACCAGAUAUCUAAACUAGGGUGGCUUGCUGUAAGGCAAGCCAUCUUAAUUGUAUCCCGUAAAAAUAUCUGAUUGGUUCAGUGUGCUGCCUUCUGCUAAGACUUCUGCAUUAGAAGAAUAACAUUUAUUGAGAUGAUAUUCCUGUACUCUUCACAUCUUUUAGGAUUGAACAGGAGGGAUCUACAUAAAAGCUUUCAGUGAACUCAGAAGAAAACAACAACAACAACAAAACAAACCCAAUUUGUUGGAAACCUGUGAAUAUAGGUAGCACAGUCUUUGCCCAGGAGCUACUAAGCUCCCUAAUUCCUUGAUUUUGGAUAUCUCUGUGACUUUACCAGAGAACUGGGAGGGAAAACCAGAUUUUAUAAGGCCCUAUGGAAAACAUGGACAAGCUGUUCUAGCUUCAGUUCCUUGAUUCCGUUUGAAAAAGACUGGCAGUGAAUUCUGCAGUACAGUGGAGAACAUGGCCUACUAUCCUCACUGAAUGCAAGGCUAUUCUUGGCUUCACAAUAAACAGUUAAGAUUUCACAGCUAAAUAUUUAGUUGUAAUGUUAAUACUCUUGACAGAAAUUGAAGUGGUGAUCGUGAAUGUGACAGUCUGUCCCACACCUAUUUAUCUCCAGACUUGGUACAGCUUAAGCAAGAGAGACCUCAUCCUGCAUUUACAGGAAUUACUUG
Non-coding RNA from Coturnix japonica (Japanese quail), 820 nucleotides. The record is from RefSeq and is a predicted model, not a curated record. Lineage: Eukaryota; Metazoa; Chordata; Aves; Galliformes; Phasianidae.